GGAAGAUAGUCAAGGGAGCUAGUGCUAUUUCCACAUUACAACAGAAUAUCAAAUAACAGCCAAUCACAGCGUGCACGAAGAACAUGGUGACCGCAUGCGUUGUACGUCCUUGUGAUCCGGUCCAGGUGGUUGAGCUCCUGUUGCCUGGUCAGUGUCACGUUCCCAACAAUUCCAGCCAAAGGGAUACAGUACACAUCUGGCCUUGACAGGUCACACCAUCUUCUAGACUCAGUUGAUGACAGUAUGGAGCAACAAUUAUAGUUAAAAAAGGCGAGCCUAGGCGGGCGCUUAAGUGCGUGCAGGGCUACAAGCUCUAGUAGAUAGCCACACGCCUAGCACUUAAUCUGUGCAUCCUCGUGCACUUUGGUGAGAAAAGCGCAAGGCAGUGGCAAAACGCACAAUUAAGGCCUAGUGCUUUUUUAAACUAAUGUUCUUAUUCUGGAAAGCUUGCCACUGAAAUGAUGUUGUGUGUAGCAAGGGUAAUACACGGAUUGCUGAAUCGGUGCAAUUUCUAGAAAGCUAUGUUCAUUCUGUAUGUGGUACAAGCAAGCCAAAUGCAUGAUCUGAAGGGUAAAGGGAACUUUGGCAUGAUGGCUAUUGAGGAGCCUAACCUAAGUUAGGGCACUUCUGAUACACAUUUGAUCUUGGAACCUCCACAAGUUGGCCAGGUCAAAAAUGAAUGUGGAUGCCAGUUUGAUCUAACAAUUUGCGACAUGCUGUGCUGUCAGCCUGAGGUAUAUUCCUAAUGUGCAAGCAUUCUGGAAACUGAGAUGGGAUUUUAGCUAACGGCUCAAUGGAUCAACCAGCCAGCUAUUGUUGAAACUGAUUGCCUUGCACUAUCUCAAGCUAUAAAUGGUUCCGACCCAGACAGAUCUUUAGCACAUGGUAUUCUGAAGGGCAUCCCUCCUUUCAACCUUUUAUGAAGGGGAUUGAUGCGCAGAUCCUAUAAAGGAGCUGACAUAUUCAGCAGAUGCAGUCCCAGAUUGUUCACUCCUGGUGCUUUCAAGUCAAACCUGCAGCCUCAAUCACCAAAUGCUGAUCAAUUUAAGGCAAUCGCUACUCAGAAUUUGAGAUCCUAUAACUUUUGGGCGUUGCAGAUGUACUUCAAGGAAAACCUAAUUGCCAAACAUUUCCCCACCCCCAAGUACAGCGAGCAACUAGUCAAUGCCAACAAAACGAACAAACCAUGCUGCUGAAGCUUUCUAAAUUGUCAUACCCAAAGACACUUUGCUAAUUAAUAGCUGCUGAGGAUGGGUACCGGGCAUGAGAGAGAGAGAGAGAGAGGGCACAAAUCGGAGCGUUUGGGGGAGGGGGCGGGGGGUGCUACCAGAAGGCGGUGUAGUUGGCGAAGCCGAUCGCGGAGGACAUGACGCAGACGGACGCG
Molecule: long non-coding RNA, 1384 nt
Filed under: Triticum aestivum (bread wheat)
Lineage: Eukaryota; Viridiplantae; Streptophyta; Magnoliopsida; Poales; Poaceae
Description: long non-coding RNA (TAES_LNC027716)
Source: RNAcentral